GCUGUAAUCGCGAAUCAGAAUGUCGCGGUGAAUACGUUCCCGGGCCUUGUACACACCGCCCGUCACACCAUGAGAGUCGAUAACACCCGAAGCCUGUGAGCUAACCGCAAGGGGGCAGCAGUCGAAGGUGGGGUUGAUGAUUGGGGUGAAGUCGUAACAAGGUAAC
RNAcentral lists this ribosomal RNA (166 nucleotides) under uncultured bacterium. Its description in RNAcentral is "partial 16S ribosomal RNA". It matches the Rfam family "Bacterial small subunit ribosomal RNA", at positions 1335 to 1500 of the family's 1533-position model. The record is from RNAcentral.